This 354-nucleotide unclassified non-coding RNA is filed under the name soil metagenome. Its description in RNAcentral is "partial contains 5.8S ribosomal RNA, internal transcribed spacer 2, and large subunit ribosomal RNA". The stretch from base 1 to 119 matches the Rfam family "5.8S ribosomal RNA", at positions 35 to 154 of the family's 154-position model. The record is from RNAcentral.
GAUGAAGAACGCAUCGAAACGCGAAAGGUAAUGCGAAUUGCAGAAUCAGUGAGUCAUCGAAUCUUUGAACGCACAUUGCGCCCCUUGGUAUUCCGGGGGGCACGCCUGUUCGAGCGCCAUUACACACCCCAAGCUAAGCUUGAUGUUGGGCGAUGUCUGUCACAGGACACGCCUGGAACGUAUGGGCGCCGCCGCCGGAUCACGAGUGUAGCAAGACGCAAGUCAUCGCUCGGUCGGUCCUGGCGGUUGGCCGCCGCGGCUCAUGGUAACACAUGGGCCAGUAACUUUUCACAAGUUUGGCCUCGAAUCAGGCGGGGAUACCCGCUGAACUUAAGCAUAUCAAUAAGCGGAGGA